AUACAAAACACAUCGGGUAAUUGCAACCACUCAAAUAUACACCUGAAGGCACUUACUUGCAAAACUGAACACCAAUUAGCCAACCACAAAAAGCCCUCAGUUUAGCCAUUUCAAGAACUUUGCAAGCAUGGAUGGAGGGAGAGCAAGAGGAAGAGGAGGAGGAGGUCAAAGAGGCCAUGCACGGACCCAUAUUUCUGAUGAUAUAAGAGCAACUUUGGUGGACCAUGUCAUCAACCACGGCCUGACUAUGAGGGAAGCUGGGCAGAGAGUCCACCCACAUCUAAGCCGUUUCACAGUGGCAUCUGUAAUAAGAAAAUUCCGACUAGAAAACAGGUCUGUCUUCAUCUCACUGCCUUCUACUCUACUCAGAUGGUUUUUAUAGUACUGUUCUACAGUUACCAUAUCAAGUGUACAGGGUAUUGCAGGGUGCUAAUGCUCCUUUUGCAGCCAAAGUGGUAGUUUCUGUGAAACAUACCAUGAUUACUUAUGUUGAAGUACAGUGUUGUACAGUGGAUGAUACAGUAUAUACAGUAAAGUACUGUAAGAAAAAUAAGCAAACCAAUGACAAUAUGUGGUUGUAUUUCUCUAGAAUGACUCGAAGACCUUCUGGGGGAGGACGCCAACGCCUGUUCACACAACGGCAGGAACUUGCCGUUGUGGACCUAGUGAGGGCAGACAAUGCUAUCCGUCUCCACCAGCUACGAAAGCAAAUACUUGCAGACAGGCAAGUGUUCAACAACAUAAACCAUGUGAGCAUCACCACCAUCAGACGCAUCUUGGGAAAACACAGCAUCACCAUGAAGCAACUCUACAGAGUCCCAUUUGAGAGGAACAGUGACAGGGUCAAAGGACUUCGAGCUGAAUAUGUACCAUAUCAGUACCACAUGAAUACAUUCUGAGAGCUACACAGAGAAUCUUGGCCAUGGAUGGAGCUGCACAGCCUCAUGAAUUCAUUUUCAUUGAUGAAGCUGGAUUCGACCUGUGCAAAACAAGACGACGGGGUCGUAAUGUAAUUGGCCAAAGGGCAAUUGUGCACGUUCCAGGGCAGCGCGGGGGAAAUAUCACAUUGUGUGCCGCCAUAAGCCUUCGACGGCUUCUGCAUCAUCAUGCAAAACUAGGUCCAUACAAUAGCCAACAUAUACUCACAUUUCUAGAUCUCCAUGAUAUAGUUGUACAGAAUAGACCAGAUCAGCCCAGGUUUGUGGUGAUAUGGGAUAAUGUCAGUUUCCAUCGGGCUGCUCUGGUCCAGGCCUGGUUCUCCAACCACAGUCAACUUGAAGUGGUAUGCUUGCCCCCUUACCCACCAUUUUUAAACCCUAUAGAGGAAUUUUUUUCGGCUUGGAGAUGGCGUGUAUAUGACCGCCAACUACAUGCCUGCAUGCCUCUUCUGCAGGCAAUGGAACAGGCCUGCGGCGACAUUCAGGUGACAGCAAUCCAUGGAUGGUUUUGACAUGGAAGAGGAUAUUUUCCCCGGUGCCUAGCGGGAGAAGACAUUGCUUGCGAUGUUGAUGAGGUCCUGUGGCCAGACCCCAACAGACGGCGGGAUCCAUGAGCCCACGUAUGCACAAUUGUCAUGAUUUUUUGUUUACAGUAUAGUGUUUUUUCUAUUACUGUAUUAUGGGUUGUUUUUUUUUUUUUUUUUUUUUUGCUUUAUCUGAAUUCAUGGUACUGCAAUGUACAAUAUUGAGUAGGCCUAUUUGCUUUUUUGGUUGUUUGCAAAUGUGUCUCCUGCCUUCUGAAUGAACAAUGGAAAUCAAAGACUGCAGUGCUUUAUAUAAAGAAGACUAGUGUGUUCCCCCUGCUCUGUAGGUGUUUGCAUAUGAUGCAAGUAUGUGUCAUUUUGUCAACAGAGUUACAUUUUGACAAAGGAAUGUUAGGUUUUGAUAGCAGAGUUUAGGUUUUGAGAGUAGAGUUUCAAUUUGGUGCAGAUGUGAAUGGUAUAUUUCCCAGUGUUGUGUCAUGUUUACUUGUGUUUAGGGUUUUGGCACAAUGAGCAAAGUUUUGCAAAAUGUGUUCAGGCAAUGGGCAAAAACUGUAAAAGUGUUGAAUGUUAUAUAGAGAACAUUUAUGCAUUGAAAAAAAGUGCUUCUGUGAAUAGAUGAAUGAGAUCUGCUGUAUAAAGCACUUUGAGGGCUCAGGUAGAGUAGAAAAGUGCUCUAUACGAAGCUGUCCAUUUUGCAAAAGAUGCCUUUUACAUCAGUAAUUAUUCACAUAAAUUUAAAUCCAUGGUGUAAGAUGUCUCUGCAACAGCUCAUCGCACCUCCACUGCAUUAAAGUCUGUGCUUGGUCCUGAGUGUGGUUGUUGGUGGUGGUGUAUGUGUGGCUGGCAGCUGAAAAGCUGUUACAGAGAACAGCAACUGAGGAUUAAAGUGUUACA
This is a long non-coding RNA of Astatotilapia calliptera (eastern happy), 2377 nucleotides long. NCBI's taxonomy places the organism in Eukaryota, Metazoa, Chordata, Actinopteri, Cichliformes, Cichlidae. The record is from Ensembl.